CUGGAGGUAUCAGAAGUGCGAAUGCUGACAUAAGUAACGAUAAAGCGGGUGAAAAGCCCGCUCGCCGGAAGACCAAGGGUUCCUGUCCAACGUUAAUCGGGGCAGGGUGAGUCGACCCCUAAGGCGAGGCCGAAAGGCGUAGUCGAUGGGAAACAGGUUAAUAUUCCUGUACUUGGUGUUACUGCGAAGGGGGGACGGAGAAGGCUAUGUUGGCCGGGCGACGGUUGUCCCGGUUUAAGCGUGUAGGCUGGUUUUCCAGGCAAAUCCGGAAAAUCAAGGCUGAGGCGUGAUGACGAGGCACUACGGUGCUGAAGCAACAAAUGCCCUGCUUCCAGGAAAAGCCUCUAAGCAUCAGGUAACAUCAAAUCGUACCCCAAACCGACACAGGUGGUCAGGUAGAGAAUACCAAGGCGCUUGAGAGAACUCGGGUGAAGGAACUAGGCAAAAUGGUGCCGUAACUUCGGGAGAAGGCACGCUGAUAUGUAGGUGAAGUCCCUCGCGGAUGGAGCUGAAAUCAGUCGAAGAUACCAGCUGGCUGCAACUGUUUAUUAAAAACACAGCACUGUGCAAACACGAAAGUGGACGUAUACGGUGUGACGCCUGCCCGGUGCCGGAAGGUUAAUUGAUGGGGUUAGCCGCAA
This 641-nucleotide ribosomal RNA is filed under the name Escherichia coli. RNAcentral describes it as "partial 23S ribosomal RNA". It matches the Rfam family "Bacterial large subunit ribosomal RNA", at positions 1273 to 1898 of the family's 2925-position model. Lineage: Bacteria; Pseudomonadati; Pseudomonadota; Gammaproteobacteria; Enterobacterales; Enterobacteriaceae. The record is from RNAcentral.